UACGGGGGGUGCGAGCGUUGUCCGGAAUCACUGGGCGUAAAGGGCGCGUAGGCGGCACAGCAAGUCGGAAGUGAAAGCCCGGGGCUCAACCCCGGAAUGUCUUUCGAAACUGCUGAGCUAGAGUGCAGAAGAGGCAACUGGAAUUCCCAGUGUAGCGGUGAAAUGCGUAGAUAUUGGGAAGAACACCUGAGGCGAAGGCGGGUUGCUGGGCUGACACUGACGCUGAGGCGCGAAAGCCAGGGGAGCGAACGGG
RNAcentral lists this ribosomal RNA (253 nucleotides) under uncultured bacterium. RNAcentral's name for it is "partial 16S ribosomal RNA". It matches the Rfam family "Bacterial small subunit ribosomal RNA", at positions 524 to 776 of the family's 1533-position model. The record is from RNAcentral.